Molecule: ribosomal RNA, 497 nt
Filed under: uncultured bacterium
Lineage: Bacteria
Description: partial 16S ribosomal RNA
Rfam family: Bacterial small subunit ribosomal RNA
Source: RNAcentral
GAUGAACGCUGGCGGCGUGCCUAAUACAUGCAAGUCGAGCGAACAGACGAGGAGCUUGCUCCUUUGACGUUAGCGGCGGACGGGUGAGUAACACGUAUGUAACCUACCUAUAAGACUGGGAUAACUUCGGGAAACCGGAGCUAAUACCGGAUAAUAUUUCGAACCGCAUGGUUCGAUAGUGAAAGAUGGCUUUGCUAUCACUUAUAGAUGGACCUGCGCCGUAUUAGCUAGUUGGUAAGGUAACGGCUUACCAAGGCAACGAUACGUAGCCGACCUGAGAGGGUGAUCGGCCACACUGGAACUGAGACACGGUCCAGACUCCUACGGGAGGCAGCAGUAGGGAAUCUUCCGCAAUGGGCGAAAGCCUGACGGAGCAACGCCGCGUGAGUGAUGAAGGUCUUCGGAUCGUAAAACUCUGUUAUUAGGGAAGAACAAACGUGUAAGUAACUGUGCACGUCUUGACGGUACCUAAUCAGAAAGCCACGGCUAACUACGUG